RNAcentral lists this ribosomal RNA (490 nucleotides) under uncultured bacterium. RNAcentral describes it as "partial 16S ribosomal RNA". It matches the Rfam family "Bacterial small subunit ribosomal RNA", at positions 29 to 507 of the family's 1533-position model. The record is from RNAcentral.
AGUGAACGCUGGCGGUAGGCCUAACACAUGCAAGUCGAACGGCAGCACAGUAAGAGCUUGCUCUUACGGGUGGCGAGUGGCGGACGGGUGAGGAAUACAUCGGAAUCUACUUUUUCGUGGGGGAUAACGUAGGGAAACUUACGCUAAUACCGCAUACGACCUACGGGUGAAAGCAGGGGAUCUUCGGACCUUGCGCGAUUGAAUGAGCCGAUGUCGGAUUAGCUAGUUGGCGGGGUAAAGGCCCACCAAGGCGACGAUCCGUAGCUGGUCUGAGAGGAUGAUCAGCCACACUGGAACUGAGACACGGUCCAGACUCCUACGGGAGGCAGCAGUGGAGAAUAUUGGACAAUGGGCGCAAGCCUGAUCCAGCCAUACCGCGUGGGUGAAGAAGGCCUUCGGGUUGUAGCCCUUUUGUUGGGAAAGAAAAGCAGCAGGUUAAUACCCCGCUGUUCUGACGGUACCCAAAGAAUAAGCACCGGCUAACUUCGUG